Molecule: ribosomal RNA, 445 nt
Filed under: uncultured bacterium
Lineage: Bacteria
Description: SSU rRNA
Rfam family: Bacterial small subunit ribosomal RNA
Source: RNAcentral
AGAACGAACGCUGGCGGCAGGCUUAACACAUGCAAGUCGAACGCCCCGCAAGGGGAGUGGCAGACGGGUGAGUAACGCGUGGGAAUCUACCCAGUUCUACGGAAUAACACAGGGAAACUUGUGCUAAUACCGUAUACGCCCUACGGGGGAAAGAUUUAUCGGGAUUGGAUGAGCCCGCGUUGGAUUAGCUAGUUGGUGGGGUAAUGGCCUACCAAGGCGACGAUCCAUAGCUGGUCUGAGAGGAUGAUCAGCCACACUGGGACUGAGACACGGCCCAGACUCCUACGGGAGGCAGCAGUGGGGAAUUUUCCGCAAUGGAGGCAACUCUGACGGAGCAACGCCGCGUGCAGGAUGAAGGUUUUCGGAUCGUAAACUGCUUUUCUCGGGGACGAGCAAGGACGGUACCCGAGGAAGAAGCCCCGGCUAACUACGCGCCAGCAGCCGC